UGGGGAAUAUUGCACAAUGGGCGAAAGCCUGAUGCAGCAACGCCGCGUGAGGGACGACGGCCUUCGGGUUGUAACCUCUUUAGCUAAGGAAGAAGCGAAAGUGACGGUACUUGCAGAAAAAGCGACCGGCUAACUACGUGCCAGCAGCCGCGGUAAUACGUAGGGCGCAAGCGUUAUCCGGAAUUAUUUGGGCGUAAAGAGCUCGUAGGCGGUUUGUCGCGUCUGCUGUGAAAAACCCGAGGCUCAACCUCGGGCCUGCAGUGGGUACGGGCAGACUAGAGUGCGGUAGGGGAGAUUGGAACUCCUGGUGUAGCGGUGGAAUGCGCAGAUAUCAGGAAGAACACCGAUGGCGAAGGCAGAUCUCUGGGCCGUAACUGACGCUGAGGAGCGAAAA
RNAcentral lists this ribosomal RNA (394 nucleotides) under uncultured bacterium. RNAcentral describes it as "partial 16S ribosomal RNA". It matches the Rfam family "Bacterial small subunit ribosomal RNA", at positions 355 to 759 of the family's 1533-position model. The record is from RNAcentral.